This 485-nucleotide unclassified non-coding RNA is filed under the name Hevea brasiliensis (rubber tree). Lineage: Eukaryota; Viridiplantae; Streptophyta; Magnoliopsida; Malpighiales; Euphorbiaceae. The record is from RNAcentral.
UAUUUUUUGUUUUGUGCAAAUAGAUUCAGAAGGGAUCACUUCCCAAUAAUACCAGACUUGUUUAGGGUAGAAUUAUGGCUUCAUUUAAGUUUUUGGCGCUGCUCUACUCUACUUGUGGUUGUUUAGAUGUUCUAUUUUCUUGCAUGGGAGAACUAAUGACAUAAAGCUGAAUCUAUUUUGAUGUUUUUCUCUUCCUAAGAAAUGCAGUCCAUGCUUCUGAUAUUGAAUUAUUUGAGGGAUGGUGCAACUAAUUAGCUAACGUUGGCAGUCAAAAGUAAUUAUUGCGUGAUUCACGUGUGAAUAUGCAUGGAGGACAAUAGUGUAGCUGCAGAUUUGCGAUUGUUUCUGCCGUUACAGGAACCCUUUUGGACAUCACCUGAUCAACUAUUAAAACUUUAUAUACAUUAUGCAUGUGUUGAUGGUCUGCUAUCCUUAAGAUAUGUGUAUUUUGCUGUAACAAAGAAAUGAAAGAUGAAUCAAGGGAG